Molecule: transfer RNA, 63 nt
Filed under: Coptosoma bifarium
Lineage: Eukaryota; Metazoa; Arthropoda; Insecta; Hemiptera; Plataspidae
Description: tRNA-Gly
Source: RNAcentral
AUCCCUUUAGUAUAAUAAAUAUAUUUGACUUCCAAUCAAAAGACCUUUCAGCAAGAAGGGAUA